Long non-coding RNA from Pleuronectes platessa (European plaice), 2338 nucleotides. RefSeq lists it as uncharacterized. Lineage: Eukaryota; Metazoa; Chordata; Actinopteri; Pleuronectiformes; Pleuronectidae. The transcript is spliced from 3 exons. The record is from RefSeq and is a predicted model, not a curated record.
CCUCCGUGCGUCACACAGAUGAUGGAGGCCCAUCUGAGCAGAGACCAAGCUAUCAAGGCCUGUAUAGCCAAAACAUCUGCUGUGAUGGGACAGCUGGGUGAGGUAAGAGCAAAAGACUGCGAGGACCUGGCAGUCAUCAAACAACUCAGGAAUGAGCAGUCCAAAGUCCGUCCUGUCUUUAAUAUAAAAAAAACACAUCAAAGCUGUAAGAUGUGUUUUUUCAGAACGACGACGAGGUGGAACUAUAUUCUGACAUUAAGUGUUUACAGCGCUUUGCCUUCGCCGCAGUUUUCAAACUAAAACGGGGGCCGGGGCAUUUCCAAACUUCACCAUUGAGUUCCAUGGAAAUCAAGAUGAAGCAACACCUCUGACCCAGGCAUAUGAGUUCAUGGGAAAAAACAGUGUUCAACUAUUUGAAAAUCCUCCAACUUUCCUCAGAUGUUCUGGCAAGGAAGGAUGGGUGGAUGGAGGUGUGCUCUCCCUCCCUCCGGCUCUGCAUGUUUGCACCAGAACAGAGCAACACCACAAUUAUAUUUUGAAUGAUCAACAUAUUUUUGUUUUGGAUGGUUUGGAGUUGCCCUGAAGCUGCUGGCUGUCUCGUUUCCCGCUGUGGGUUUCUCAGGAGGUGCUGAAGGAGAUGUGCACCAUGGAUGACCACAUCGUCCACAACCUGAACACCACCGUGCCCACAGUUUCCGUCUCAGGCCAAGUUGAUGCCACACAAACAUCUGUAUGAAUGUGUGAGUGUGUGAGUGUGACGACCGAGACUGAAAUAUAAACCUCCAAAGUGUCCCUUCUAGAGUUCAUUGGAAAAAGAUGUUCAACCAUGAGAAAUCAUUCAUCAUAAUCAUUUUGUUUGGUUCUCCAGAAACCAUCUGGAUGGUCAGCAGCAGUGUUUCUCUAAAUCCUUCCAUUGACCUCAGAUGACACGUUUGGGAGAACCAAACUCACAUUCGUAUCUUGUGUAACUUUGACGAACUAAAGGAUCCAAGUACUCCCACUAUAGUAUCUGUUCCUGAAGCUCCUUUGAAGAAACGUGCCACAGUGGGGAAAAUAGAGGGGUAGAAAAAUGUGCAAAACGUGACUGGGUGUGAACUCUGGAGUUCAUGUGGUCUCUGUUUUCUUGCCUUUGAUUUUAAAUGCGGUCUGGGCUGUUGUGUAGUGUUACUUUGUCCUGUUUAUGUUGCACUUCUAGCAUCUCAAUCAAUGGUUGUAAUAUCUGUAACAGACUAGGCAGCAAACUAGGUUUUAGCUAAGCUAUAAAUGCUACGUUGUUUGAUUAUAAAGGAGUAGAAUGAACUGUUUAAAAGGUGAAGGAUACAGAAGCACAGCAAGUUAUAAGCUGUCGUGUGUUGGCUAUGGGGGAUACUCCUGUUGUGUAGAGUUAGUACAGACCCUAUUUCAUUGAAAAUAAUGCACAAUAUUACAUUACCUUAUCAGUAUAUAUUACUGUUGUAUUGCCACACUCUAAACACUGGCUCAAAGCUUGAUUAAAUUAGCAUUAUGGACUCAGUCAUGUUGAUGGUACUAUGUUGUGCUGAAUUUUAAAGAAUCACCUGCUUCACCUAACAUAAGAAAUUCAUUCAUUGUCACUUCAUAUUGACUGGUAAUAAUUACAUCUGUAUCUCCUGAGAUGGAUUUCAUAUUCAUGGUGUAGUUUUCUUGAGAAAAUCUAAGUUAUUAUACAAUGAAUAAUCAUUAAACUCAUAAAUAUGGAAUCUGUAUCUAAUCACCAACAAGAUAUUUAUGCUGUUAUCCUGAGUUGCGAAGUCCUUAUUACAACAUAGAUAUGCCAAUGCAUAUGUUGGUGAAUACAAUGCGUUUCUAUAUAGUUCAUCCAGACAUAUUCAAAAUGUUGGCAGUUUAUGUUUUUGUACAAUUUAUGUAAACCUGAUGCUGUAGCAGAUUUCCAACCUGCUUAACAAUAAUAGGUUCCCUAAUGCAAUAAACGUAAAUGAUUUGUCAACUUUCCUAUAGCUUCUAUCAAAGUGCCAGCUGUCAUUUGUGCCUGAGUAAACUGAAUAUGCUGCCUUACAGAAAUGCAGAACUAAGAACUGUCUGUUUGUGCUCUGAAAUCACAGUAGAUCUUUAGUCUUCAGUGUGUUGUUGUAUACCUUUUUUUUUUUAGGUCUUUAUUGUGUAUUAUACCUAAUUUAAACCUCCUGACAAAGGAGGUCAUAUCUGCCAUAAUUAUUUUUCAGCUUUAAUUUCUGUAUGAGUUAACAUUGAAUGUUCUUUUAUUUAGAUUCUGUUUCACGGUAACAUGUUGUGACACUUAUGUGGAAGUCAUGUCAAAUUAGAAACACCGAUAUGUCAAUAAAGAGUUUUGUGUUACACC